Molecule: long non-coding RNA, 376 nt
Filed under: Brachypodium distachyon (stiff brome)
Lineage: Eukaryota; Viridiplantae; Streptophyta; Magnoliopsida; Poales; Poaceae
Description: long non-coding RNA (BDIS_LNC004915)
Source: RNAcentral
CGGGGCAUGCGGUGGGUGGGUGAUCGGCGGCAGACGAAUGAAGAGACGGGCGUGCGUGCGGCCGGCGGUUGGUGGGUGGCGUGCGGAUCGCAGCGACCAGUGGUGGUUGGAGGAAGAGAGAGCUAGAGGGCGUGCGUGCGGUGAUGCGGGUUGUUUCGACAGAUUUUUUUUUUCCGUUCGCUCCGGAGUUCUUCGGGUUAAUCUGAGGCGUUGGGUGGACCAGAUCCGACGGCUCAUAACCAGUGGACGGUGAGCAAUGAGUAAACUGUGUGUUUAUAAUAGUAGAGAUGACUUCAGGAGCCCUAUUUUUGUGCGCUUGUUCAGAAUUAUAGCUUCAGACGCCGGCACUGUUUGACAGUUCCUCUAAUGACUGCUG